This is an RNA transcript of Zalophus californianus (California sea lion), 2867 nucleotides long. It is a transcript of the gene named eukaryotic translation initiation factor 2-alpha kinase 1-like, with no coding region annotated. Lineage: Eukaryota; Metazoa; Chordata; Mammalia; Carnivora; Otariidae. The record is from RefSeq and is a predicted model, not a curated record. The transcript has 3 exons.
AUGCGUCGCACCAUUUCCCAUGAGCACCCAUUGGAGGUCAUGCCUGAUCUCUACUUCUACAGAGAUCCUGAAGAGACUGAAAAGGAAGGGCAGGUCGCUGCUGAGAAUUCUGUGACGGAGGAGGACCUUCAGGGUGAAUGGACUGUUCCAGUUCUUGAGUUCACUGCUAUUCAACCUGAAGUCACAGACUGGUCUGAUGGCGUGCAGGUGCCCUCUGUGCCUAUUCAGCAGUUCCCCACUGAGGACUGGAGCGUCCAGCUGGCGGUAGAAGACUGGUCUGCAGCUCCCACUGCUCAGGCCACAGAAUGGGGGACAGCUGGUCCAACUACAGGCUUCACAUCCCUUACAGAACACCAGGCGCCCCAAGCUAUUGCUCAUUUAAUGAGGUCAGCUAAAGAAAGAGCUCCUCAGGAUCCUUGAGAUGAUAAUUCUCACAUCCAGAAGAUCAGAUCAAGGGAAGUAGCUCUGAAAAACAAACUUCAUGUUACUUAAACAAACUACAACAGCUUGCCACCUUAGGAAAAGGUAGAUAUGAAAGAGUAUACAAGAUCAGGAAUAAAUUAGAUGGUCAAUGUUUUGCAAUUAAAAAUUUACAAUUAAAAAAAUCCUGAUUAAGGGUGCAACUAAACAGAUUGCUUGAAGGUACUAUGGUGAGUGAAGGUAUUGGCAGGUCUUCGGUAUCCUACUUGUAGGGCCAUCAUAAUGCUUGGAUAGAACAUGUUCCUGUGGCCCGAAUGCAAGGUAGAAUUUCUAUUCAGUUGCCAUCUGUGGAAGUGAGGUUGGAACCAGGAGGAUGACAAAAAUCAGUAUGAUGUUAAAAAUGAUUAAAGUAACAGCUCAUCCACUAUCCUCACCAAGUUCACCCUAGAAAAAGAAAAAUUCUUAGAAGAAUCUGGCAUUGAAAAUCAGACUAACAGACUGAUGAACUACAUCACCAAUUUAGUCACAAAAGAUGCCAGUGAAUUUGAAUCAUUCCUUUCACUCCAAGAAAAUGGCUUGGCUGAUUUGUCUUCCAGAUUGUUGAACAUCAGCGGCCACUUAGGCAUGAUUGCGACUUUGAAGAGAAUUUCACAUCCAUCGAGGAAUCUUCUGAAGAAAACUUAAAACUUGUUGGGGCAGACAUCAUCUCAUGGAGUGCACCUGAUGUUGCACAUCCAGAUCCAGCUGUGGGACUCUCUCUGUGAGACUGGAUAGCUGAGAGAAACAAGCAGGGCCAGGAGUGUGGGGGCCAAUCUGCAUGUCCUUAUGUUAUGGCCAGUGUUGCAAUAAAAAUUUUUCAAGAAUUGGAGGAAGGUGUAUUUUAUAUUCAUAACAUGAGAAUAGUACACAUAUAUCUGAAGCCCAGAAAUAUUUUCCUCAUGGCCCUGAUCAGCAAGUAAAAAUAGGAGACUUUGGUCUGGCCUGCACAGACAUCAUACAGAAGAACACAGACUGGAUCAAUAGACAUGGCAAGAGAACACCAACACAUACUUCCAGAGUAGGUACUUGUCUGUACCCUUAACCUGAAGAGUUAGAAGGAUCUGAGUGUGACGGCAUAUCAGAUAUGUAUAGCUUGGGUGUGAUCCUACUGGAGCUCUUUCAGCCGUUUGGAACAGAAAUACAGCAAGUACAAGUUAUAACAGGUUUAAGAACUGGUCAGAUACUUGAAUCCCUCAGUAAAACACAAGCCAAGUGUAUCCAGCACUUAACCAGAAAGAAUACAACUCAGAGACUGUCUGCUCUGUUCAGCUGCUGUAAAGUGAACUUUUCCAAAAUUCUGGAAAUGUUAAUCUCACCCUACAAAGAUACUAGAACAAGAAAAAGAAACUGAAGAAAGAAACAGCUAAGCCUCCUUUCUCAGGACAAAAGGGUUAAAUAUGAAAUGGAAGAUAGGAAUGUGCCUUUCUAGCCUUAAUUAGGCUCUAUAAAUGUGGAAGUGGUCUCAAACUCUUUAAGCUAGUCAGCUGGAAUGUAAAUUUUCAAUUUUUAUUAUGGUAUAAAGGGUAUAAUACUUUUCUUUAGUAAGCCUGUAUAAGACUUAUUAAAGUGAAGUUGUAAAAGUUUUUAAAAAGUGUAUUAUUUAUGAUUGCAUCUACACAAAAUAAAAGACAAAACUAAUCUAUGGUUUUAGAAAACAGAACAGUAGUUACUUCUGGGGAGGAAGAAGGUAGCGUUAAAAUAGGGGCAAGAGGGGCUUCUGGGGUGUUCGUACAGCUGUAUGUUGAUCUCAGGGUCAGUGAUAGGACUACGUUUAAUUUGUCAAAACCCUCACUUAUAUACUCUUCUAGAUGGAUGGUAUAUGCAGUUUUUAAAAAUUGGUAACUUUUCAGCAUUUAUCAAUUUGAUAGGCUACUGAAAAAGACAGAUAUGUAUUCAAGGAAGUGGGGAAAAUAUUUACUAAACAAUAACCUUAUUUCUCAAGAACCCUAAAGAUUUGUUUCUAUCUCCACAAGAUUUUAAAAAUCUCAACGGACAGUAUAGUGACUUUUAAAUGUUAAAAAAUAAAAGUAAAAUACUGCUUAAUGAGCUUUGUUAUGCCUAGAUCCUAGGACUGUAAAUUACAAAAGUACAAGUAAAACCACAUUUCCUGAAAUAACAAUAAAGGAAAAAGUCAGGUACUAUAUACCAAAUGAUAAAAAUAUCUUCUGGGCCUAAGAUUCUUGAAAUUAGUAAAAAUGUUGAUAAUAGAAAUCUGCUGCUAAUCUACAUAGAUUAUUAAAUGUAAAAACAAUUUAUAAAACACAUCAGAAUUUUAUUGCUUGAAGAAUACAGCAUAUGAAAUCACAAGAAUGUCAAAAUGAAAAGUCACUAGGCUUCAAACAUAUAAUACAUUAUCAGAUGCAGUAAAAUAUUAAUUAACCUGAACUCUGCAUCAGGGAAAAAAAAAA